CCUACGGGGGGCAGCAGUGGGGAAUAUUGGACAAUGGGCGAAAGCCUGAUCCAGCCAUGCCGCGUGUGUGAAGAAGGCCUUCGGGUUGUAAAGCACUUUCAGUGGGGAAGAAAGCCUUGGGGCUAAUACCCUCGAGGAAGGACAUCACCCACAGAAGAAGCACCGGCUAACUCCGUGCCAGCAGCCGCGGUAAUACGGAGGGUGCGAGCGUUAAUCGGAAUUACUGGGCGUAAAGCGCGCGUAGGCGGUCUGAUAAGCCGGUUGUGAAAGCCCCGGGCUCAACCUGGGAACGGCAUCCGGAACUGUCAGGCUAGAGUGCAGGAGAGGAAGGUAGAAUUCCCGGUGUAGCGGUGAAAUGCGUAGAGAUCGGGAGGAAUACCAGUGGCGAAGGCGACCUUCUGGACUGACACUGACGCUGAGGUGCGAAAGCGUGGGUAGCAAACAGGAUUAGAUACCCGUGUAGUC
This 465-nucleotide ribosomal RNA is filed under the name Vreelandella stevensii. Its description in RNAcentral is "partial 16S ribosomal RNA". It matches the Rfam family "Bacterial small subunit ribosomal RNA", at positions 338 to 795 of the family's 1533-position model. The record is from RNAcentral. Lineage: Bacteria; Pseudomonadati; Pseudomonadota; Gammaproteobacteria; Oceanospirillales; Halomonadaceae.